UAGUUUAGAGGUUUUAGCAAGCCCUCCUAAUCCCCGGUUUAGAACGAUCCCUACUUACAUACUUUACUACAUUUGAUAAAAAGAGGGUUUAAUUUGUGUGCUUAUAUAUUUCGCACCAGUAGCAAUCAAUUAUUCAUCCUUUGCAUAAGCAGCGGAGCGAAAUUCAGAUAUGGAACGCUCAAGAUCUUGAAUCUGAGGUAUGUAACGUUCGAUUUCCUUCUCUGCACUUUCAUACUUUAUUUGGAUCGCAUCAAGCCUAGUCUUCAAAUCCAUGAUCUCCUGGCGAGCGGCCUCAAGCUGCAGAGAAGUGGGGGCAGAAGUAUUAGAUUCCUUCAAAACAGCAAGCUCAGAUUCCAAUU
This 359-nucleotide long non-coding RNA is filed under the name Malus domestica (apple). Its description in RNAcentral is "long non-coding RNA (MDOM_LNC006107)". Lineage: Eukaryota; Viridiplantae; Streptophyta; Magnoliopsida; Rosales; Rosaceae. The record is from RNAcentral.